This 1353-nucleotide ribosomal RNA is filed under the name Lactuca sativa (garden lettuce). Its description in RNAcentral is "bacterial SSU rRNA". It matches the Rfam family "Bacterial small subunit ribosomal RNA", at positions 8 to 1169 of the family's 1533-position model. The record is from RNAcentral. Lineage: Eukaryota; Viridiplantae; Streptophyta; Magnoliopsida; Asterales; Asteraceae. RNAcentral also lists the same sequence under 1 other name.
AGAGUUCGAUCCUAUCUCAGGAUGAACACUGGCGACAUGCUUAACACAUGCAAGUCGGACGGGAAGUGUUGUUUCCAGUGGCGAACGGGUGAGUAAUGCGUAAGAACCUGCCCUUGGGAGGGGAACAACAGCUGGAAACGGCUGCUAGUACCUUGUAGGAUGAAGAGCAAAAUGAGGAAUCCGCCCAAGGAGGGGCUCGCGUCUGAUUAACUAGUUGGUGUGGUAAUAGCUUACCAAGGCGAUGAUCAGUAGCUGGUCCGAGAGGAUGAUCAUCCACAUUGGGACUGAGACACGACCCAGACUCCUACGGGAGGCAGCAGUGGGGAAUUUUACGUAAUGGGCGAAAGCCUGACGGAGCAAUGUCGCGUGGAGGCAGAAGGCUCACGAGUCAUGAACUUCUAUUCCCGGAGCAGAAGCAAUGACGGUAUCUGGGGAAUAAGCAUCGGCUAACUCUGUGCCAGCAGCCGCGAUAAUACAGAGGAUGCAAGCGUUAUUCCAAAAUUUUUGGCGUAAAGCAUCUUUAGGUGGCUUUUUAAGUCCGCGGUCAAAUCGCAGGGAUAAACUCUGGACAGACGGUGGAAACUACCAAGCUGGAGUAUGGUAGGAGUAGAGGGAAUUUCCGGUGGAGCGGUGUAAUGCAUAGACAUCGGAAAGAACACCAACGGCAAAAGCACUCUGCUGGGCCGGCACUGACACUGAGAGACGAAAGCUUGGGGAGCGAACGGGAUUAGAUACCCCAGUAGUCCUAGCCGUAAACGAUGGAUACUAGGCGAUGUGUGUAUCGACCCGUGCAAUGUUGUAGCUAACACGUUAAGUAUCCCGCCUAUGGAGUACGUUUGCAAGAAUUAAACUCAAAGGAAUUAAUGGGGGCCCGCAUAAGCGGUGAAGCAUGUGGUUUAAUUUGAUGCAAAGCGAAGAACCUUUCCAGGGCUUGACAUGUUGUGAAUCCUCUUGAAAGAGAGGGGUGCCUUCGGGAACGCGAACACAAGUGGUGCAUGACUGUCGUCAACUCGUGCCGUAAGGUUGGGUUAAGCCCGACAACGAGCGCAACCCGCAUGUUUAGUUAUCAUCAUUGAGUUUGGAUGUAACGACCAAAAAAUUCCAACCAAUUUAAAUUUUUCAAAAACAACCCGAUUCCAUUAAAUUACUACAAAAAGGUUUUCAAUACAAAUCAUUUAGAGUAUUCCCAGAAUCACAUUACGACAAAAACAUGAGGAGUGGUACGAUCACGCCUUUGCCUUGCCACGGUCUCCUGAAGUACCUGAAAAACAUAAAACCACAACUGUAAGCCCGAAAGCUAAGUGAGAUAUCCCCAAAAUAUCAACCACAUAUACCAUACACGCAUAUCAUGCC